AGGGUUCGAUCAUGGCUCAGAACGAACGCUGGCGGCAGGCCUAAUACAUGCAAGUCGAGCGCCCUCUUCGGAGGGAGCGGCGGACGGGUUAGUAACGCGUGGGAAUAUGCCCUUCUCUACGGAAUAGCCUCGGGAAACUGAGAUUAAUACCGUAUACGCCCUUCGGGGGAAAGAUUUAUCGGAGAAGGAUUAGCCCGCGUAAGAUUAGAUAGUUGGUGGGGUAACGGCCUACCAAGUCGACGAUCUUUAGCUGGUUUGAGAGGAUGAUCAGCAACACUGGGACUGAGACACGGCCCAGACUCCUACGGGAGGCAGCAGUAGGGAAUCUUAGACAAUGGGCGCAAGCCUGAUCUAGCCAUGCCGCGUGAGUGAAGAAGGCCCUAGGGUCGUAAAACUCUUUCGCCAGAGAUGAUAAUGACAGUAUCUGGUAAAGAAACCCCGGCUAACUCCGUGCCAGCAGCCGCGGUAAUACGGAGGGGGUUAGCGUUGUUCGGAAUUACUGGGCGUAAAGCGUACGUAGGCGGAUUAGUAAGUUAGGGGUGAAAUCCCAGGGCUCAACCCUGGAACUGCCUCUAAAACUGCUAGUCUUGAGUUCGAGAGAGGUGAGUGGAAUUCCAAGUGUAGAGGUGAAAUUCGUAGAUAUUUGGAGGAACACCAGUGGCGAAGGCGGCUCACUGGCUCGAUACUGACGCUGAGGUACGAAAGUGUGGGGAGCAAACAGGAUUAGAUACCCUGGUAGUCCACACCGUAAACGAUGAAUGCCAGACGUCAGCAAGUAUACUUGUUGGUGUCACACCUAACGGAUUAAGCAUUCCGCCUGGGGAGUACGGUCGCAAGAUUAAAACUCAAGGAAUUGACGG
RNAcentral lists this ribosomal RNA (860 nucleotides) under uncultured bacterium. Its description in RNAcentral is "bacterial SSU rRNA". It matches the Rfam family "Bacterial small subunit ribosomal RNA", at positions 8 to 916 of the family's 1533-position model. The record is from RNAcentral.